CAGGAAUGGGCUGGGGCGCGUUUGUAGUUGGGAAUCCUGAGCCCGGGCUGUUGCUUGGAGGACUCGGGAGCAGCAGUGGAUUUCGGCGUUACCAGGAGAGCUAUGUAUAGGAAUGCCGCUAUGGAAAGACAUCCAGGACACCUUGUUAAGUGAAAAAAGGUUCAGUAUCUGAACACUUUUGCUAAAGGUCUCUGGAAAGCUCCCUGUGUUAAUUCUCGAUGAGACUACGUCUGUGCCGGCCGCUUCCUGAGCCUCCUUCCAUGUGCAUAGGCCUGCUGCAUGCUGGAGACCUGCGGCACAGCUGCCAAGUGCCCCGUGUGGUUCUGUGAUCUUGGGACAGUCACUUCCUCUCUGUGGUUGUCAGUCUUCUCAUCCCUAAGAUGGAAUAAAAAGGCCUACCUCAUUGGGCUCGUGUGGGUGAGGAGAACUGAAGAGUCUGAGAGCGCGGCACGAGCCAGAGGCUACGGAAAACACUGCCCUCCUACACUCCACCUUGGAGAGACCCAGAAAAGAACAAGCUUCAUUUGUAAAAAAGGAAAACAACUCAGGCAAUGGGGGUGGCUUAAAGGCACUCUACAGUGUGCAGAUGCCUUCCACUUCUUCCAUCUGCCCUGUCUCUCCAAGAACCCCUAUGGCCCCGGUCUCAGAACAGAGCUGAGUGCAGAAAUGAAAAUCUAUGGCUCUGUGUUCCAAAACGAUGAAGAAUUUCAAGAUGGUGGCAGUGGUAAAAUCUUUCUCCAGGAAAAAUCUGUCCUUGGCCCAAUGUGUAAACACUUGCUGAGGAACUUGGAAUAACUUGCAGUGUCUUGCAGUAUUGUGAAACCAG
This 826-nucleotide long non-coding RNA is filed under the name Homo sapiens (human). RNAcentral describes it as "non-protein coding lnc-RPLP1-12:6". Lineage: Eukaryota; Metazoa; Chordata; Mammalia; Primates; Hominidae. The record is from RNAcentral.